UGCUCCCUGCCUGGUUUGCCAAGGUCAUAUAUUCCUUGAACCAAUGCCAUUGUGCACGGUUGUGGGAUCUUGUAGCACUGGCGAGCGCGUCACUCUGUCUGAUGAGCCCAAGGUGCUGCUUACUGCGACCAAUCUUGAACCCAGGUUCAGGAUGCCGGCCUAGCGGCUUGGGCGGGGACCUC
This is a non-coding RNA of Burkholderia sp. Leaf177, 182 nucleotides long. It matches the Rfam family "6S / SsrS RNA". Rfam says of the family: E. coli 6S RNA was the first non coding RNA to be sequenced, but its function was unknown until recently. It consists of 184 nucleotides that fold into an extended hairpin structure with a large single-stranded internal bulge. Lineage: Bacteria; Pseudomonadati; Pseudomonadota; Betaproteobacteria; Burkholderiales; Burkholderiaceae. The record is from Rfam.